This 546-nucleotide ribosomal RNA is filed under the name uncultured Ralstonia sp. RNAcentral describes it as "bacterial SSU rRNA". It matches the Rfam family "Bacterial small subunit ribosomal RNA", at positions 340 to 879 of the family's 1533-position model. The record is from RNAcentral. Lineage: Bacteria; Pseudomonadati; Pseudomonadota; Betaproteobacteria; Burkholderiales; Burkholderiaceae.
UACGGGAGGCAGCAGUGGGGAAUUUUGGACAAUGGGCGAAAGCCUGAUCCAGCAAUGCCGCGUGUGUGAAGAAGGCCUUCGGGUUGUAAAGCACUUUUGUCCGGAAAGAAAUGGCUCUGGUUAAUACCUGGGGUCGAUGACGGUACCGGAAGAAUAAGGACCGGCUAACUACGUGCCAGCAGCCGCGGUAAUACGUAGGGUCCAAGCGUUAAUCGGAAUUACUGGGCGUAAAGCGUGCGCAGGCGGUUGUGCAAGACCGAUGUGAAAUCCCCGAGCUUAACUUGGGAAUUGCAUUGGUGACUGCACGGCUAGAGUGUGUCAGAGGGGGGUAGAAUUCCACGUGUAGCAGUGAAAUGCGUAGAGAUGUGGAGGAAUACCGAUGGCGAAGGCAGCCCCCUGGGAUAACACUGACGCUCAUGCACGAAAGCGUGGGGAGCAAACAGGAUUAGAUACCCUGGUAGUCCACGCCCUAAACGAUGUCAACUAGUUGUUGGGGAUUCAUUUCCUUAGUAACGUAGCUAACGCGUGAAGUUGACCGCCUGGGGA